UUUGAUUAAAUUUCAAGUAUCUGCCUGCAACAAUUUGGAACUCUUCCAUAGAUUUCUCAGGGUUAGUUCUUUUUAAAGAUCAUGGACGCUGCCAAAUAGAAAUAGUAGAGUUGGAACAUGUAAUAAACCAGAACAAGUCUAAAAGCAAGUGAUUCAGAUUCAAUUCAGUGACUGGAUACUUUAUACAAGUCUUUGAUCAAUUAAGCAAUCAAGAACUAUCAUUGAGUUGAGGAAGAGAAGAGGCUUCAAUUCACAACAGUUAUAUGAACAUGAAAAUGCAGUGUCAGAAGAGAAAACAACAUAAAUGAAUCAAUUAAAUAAAUAAAAAAGAAAACAGUAAGAAUUGAAGUAGAAGAUGAUGAUGGAGAAAGAAGAAUACCUCUUCCCUAUGUGUUGCUCUCUCAACAGCAUCAAGGUUCCUUCUUGAAGAAGCAUUCUUCCUUGCCACCACACAAUCCACAGAAGCAGAAGCAUGAUCUGAUGCGAAUCCAAUUCCAGGG
This 500-nucleotide long non-coding RNA is filed under the name Arachis ipaensis. Its description in RNAcentral is "long non-coding RNA (AIPA_LNC002055)". The record is from RNAcentral. Lineage: Eukaryota; Viridiplantae; Streptophyta; Magnoliopsida; Fabales; Fabaceae.